UUUCCUUUCAGUUUCUAUUUAUUAAUAAAAUUGAUUUCAUGUUUAAAGUUUCUCCAACUGUUAUGGUACGUUUUCUUGCGACACUUCCAGUGGAGAAUUUAGCAGACACCGAUUUCUUCGAUUAUUUAUUUUACUUUUGUUUUGAUUUUAGGCCAAUUUUUCAUUCGAUUGGGUUAAUUUUUCUUUCAAUCUUGCCGAUUGAUUUGAUAUUUUGGUUGUUAUACCAUUGCAUGCACUAAAUUUAGAGUUCAUAUGUCGCGUUGUUCCUUCUUCUCCUUCUCCUCUCCGACUUACCUAUUUACGAGCCUUGCAUUUACUUCGAGGAGAAAAGGGAGAAUUACAAAUAUGCAGGAUAGAGCAUAGGAAACUUCAUAUUAAAAACUCUAUCAAUUUUUCGAAGAAACAGUCAUAUCGUUAUAUCGUUAUAUCGCAGUUUCAGGUAACAUAAAGGACAUACGCCCCUUAUAAACUUUGCUUGGCUGGUGUAUCAAGUACGAUGGAACGAACUAUCUAAAAGUUUCAAAUGCAAAUAAAGGUUAUUUGGAGUUCCAAUUGGAAGAGAAGGGAAAGGACGGUAAAGAAACUGCUAUACUGAUCUAGCAUAGCUCAUAUUGAGAGGUAAGGACUGAAAUUUUACUUGUUGAAAAAAUUAUAUAAAGAAUUGCGGUUAAUCAAUUCAGUUCUCUUCCUCUCUUGCACUGAGGCAGUAUGUUUUAGCUAAUUUGUGUAAAAAAAAAAGAAGAUUAAAAAAUAUUCUUUUUUGUGAUCAUUUUUUCUAUAUGAGUUGGCUGAUUGAAGAAUUUUAUAAUUGAGAAUUUGGAUGUAAUUUGGAGUUUGGUAGAAAGCAUAAUGGUUUAACUGAUUAUGCAAAGAAAUUCACUUUUCAAAUGAGGUAUGCCUUUCUCCACAUGAUGUAAUACUUGGGAUGAUUGCUCACAGAUAACAAUUAUAAAAAUGACACUGAGACUAUACAUUGUUUCCUCUAUGCUUUGUCUUCUAAAGUUGCAAGACACCAACUAAGUAUUUAUUUCACUUUGUGAAGCUUCACUCCAUAAUGAGAAGCUAAGAAUUAAUGGAAAGGUUUCUAUCCCGUGUUUUAGAUAUAUUUCAUGCUUGAUUUGUGGCCUUGAGCUAUGGGAUUGUUUAUAAUUUUUACAGACUUUUAUUAAAUGAAUUUGCAGAACACCGGAUACAUUUUAUAGAUAUUCUUAUUGGAAGAUCUUUGUAAAAUUCCAAGAUCUUUCUCUUUGUUGUUGUGUCAUUCAAAAUUUGCUUGUAAUCAAAUCACUUUAAGCACGAUAAGAAAGGAAUACAACUUCGCA
This is a long non-coding RNA of Solanum stenotomum, 1322 nucleotides long. RefSeq lists it as uncharacterized. The transcript is spliced from 4 exons. NCBI's taxonomy places the organism in Eukaryota, Viridiplantae, Streptophyta, Magnoliopsida, Solanales, Solanaceae. The record is from RefSeq and is a predicted model, not a curated record.